Non-coding RNA from Salmo salar (Atlantic salmon), 696 nucleotides. NCBI's taxonomy places the organism in Eukaryota, Metazoa, Chordata, Actinopteri, Salmoniformes, Salmonidae. The record is from RefSeq and is a predicted model, not a curated record.
UGCACGACUGAGUAACAGCUGCUAUUUUAUUCUAGCUGACAUACUGAUGUUGUGUUGAUGUGUCUUUGUCAGAUGUUCUCCACACUCUCAACUUUGGGGUGGGUGGUGACGAAACACAGCAUGUCUUGUGGAGAUUGAGCAAUGGAGAGUUGGCCCACAUCAGCCCAAAAGUUGUGGUGCUGUGGGUGGGCACCCAUAAUCACGGUCACACUGCAGAACAGAUCUGUGGAGGCAUUAUGGCCAUAGUCCAACUCAUCAAGGACAAGCUGCCGAAGGCUUACACUCUUUUCUUUUUCUUCCUCUUUUCUACCACAUGUGACUUAAACCAUUGUAAUGGGAAAUGUUUGAUUAAUCAUUUUCCUGUAUUUCAUUUACUGUUACUAAGUACUGAUGUUCCUUCCUUUGACCUGUUUAACUGCCUGAAUCAAAUGUCUGCCAGUGUUGAAUGUUAUAGUUAAAGUUUGCUGAAAGACUUUGCAGAGGACACACUGAUAAUGUAUCUGUGACACUGUGAUUCUGUAGCAGCUGAUGUUGUGACUUCCUACAAGCCUCUCGGGCUGUUGUUUACUCAACACUCGGUGCAGUGGGAUUAAUAUAUAAGUUCCCUCUCAGAGAAGCCCGUUAGACAUUUCUCUUGGCUUCUGCUCUGGAGAUGUUCUCCCUGAAUUCUUGUAAUAAACUGAAAUAAUUUAAAUU